ACCCGCUGAACUUAAGCAUAUCAAUAAGCGGAGGAAAAGAAACCAACAGGGAUUGCCCUAGUAACGGCGAGUGAAGCGGCAACAGCUCAAAUUUGAAAUCUGGCUCUCGGGCCCGAGUUGUAAUUUGUAGAGGAUGCUUUUGAUGCGGUGCCUUCCGAGUUCCCUGGAACGGGACGCCAUAGAGGGUGAGAGCCCCGUCUGGUUGGAUGCCAAAUCUCUGUAAAGCUCCUUCGACGAGUCGAGUAGUUUGGGAAUGCUGCUCUAAAUGGGAGGUAUAUGUCUUCUAAAGCUAAAUACCGGCCAGAGACCGAUAGCGCACAAGUAGAGUGAUCGAAAGAUGAAAAGCACUUUGAAAAGAGAGUUAAAAAGUACGUGAAAUUGUUGAAAGGGAAGCGUUUAUGACCAGACUUGGGCUUGGUUAAUCAUCUGGGGUUCUCCCCAGUGCACUUUUCCAGUCCAGGCCAGCAUCAGUUUUCGCCGGGGGAUAAAGGCUUCGGGAAUGUGGCUCCCUCCGGGGAGUGUUAUAGCCCGUUGCGUAAUACCCUGGCGGGGACUGAGGUUCGCGCUUCUGCAAGGAUGCUGGCGUAAUGGUCAU
RNAcentral lists this ribosomal RNA (595 nucleotides) under uncultured fungus. RNAcentral's name for it is "eukaryotic LSU rRNA". It matches the Rfam family "Eukaryotic large subunit ribosomal RNA", at positions 23 to 641 of the family's 3401-position model. The record is from RNAcentral. Lineage: Eukaryota; Fungi.